Oncorhynchus tshawytscha (Chinook salmon) is the source of this 377-nucleotide long non-coding RNA. The record is from Ensembl. NCBI's taxonomy places the organism in Eukaryota, Metazoa, Chordata, Actinopteri, Salmoniformes, Salmonidae.
UGAAAAACAGUUUUUAAUGAUUCCAACCUAAUUCUGUUCCUGCACACAUCAUUUUUUCUUGAGGCAAUGCUAAGUUUGGUAGCCGAAGUCUACGCCCCUUCGUUGGUGAUUGGUCAACAGUACUCCUCCUAUCCAAUAGGAGUGCAUCCCUCAGACCAUCCGGUUCAUGGACAUCCUGUGACGUUGUGAUCCAGUUGUGGAGACAACUGCACAUCAAGCCUGUGGAUGAACAGCUCAGUAACUCAUCAAAUAUGAUAGAAUUUGUAGAUGCAUCAACAUUUUGACUUUAUGCCCCCUUUUCCCUGUUGUCUCACCCAUCCUGCAUUUACCAGAAAAAGAAGCUCCACACAACAAAGGGGCUAUGAAAUAAUUUAAAC